This 555-nucleotide ribosomal RNA is filed under the name uncultured archaeon. RNAcentral's name for it is "bacterial SSU rRNA". It matches the Rfam family "Archaeal small subunit ribosomal RNA", at positions 325 to 879 of the family's 1478-position model. The record is from RNAcentral.
ACGGGGUGCAGCAGGCGCGAAACCUUUACACUGUACGCAAGUGCGACAGGGGGACUCCGAGUGUGUGGGCAUAGAGCUCACACUUUUGUGAACCGUAAGGUGGUUCACGAAUAAGAGCUGGGCAAGACCGGUGCCAGCCGCCGCGGUAAUACCGGCAGCUCGAGUGAUGACCGAUUUUAUUGGGCCUAAAGCGUCCGUAGCUGGCCAGGCAAGUCCGUUGGGAAAUCCACCUGCUCAACAGGUGGGCGUCCAGCGGAAACUGCUUGGCUUGGGACCGGAAGAUCCAAGGGGUACGUCCGGGGUAGGAGUGAAAUCCUGUAAUCCUGGACGGACCGCCGAUGGCGAAAGCACCUUGGAAGGACGGAUCCGACAGUGAGGGACGAAAGCUAGGGUCUCGAACCGGAUUAGAUACCCGGGUAGUCCUAGCUGUAAACGAUGUCCGCUAGGUGUGGCACAGGCUACGAGCCUGUGCUGUGCCGUAGGGAAGCCGAGAAGCGGACCGCCUGGGAAGUACGUCUGCAAGGAUGAAACUUAAAGGAAUUGGCGGGGGAGCAC